ACGGAGGAUGCAAGCGUUAUCCGGAUUCAUUGGGUUUAAAGGGUCCGCAGGCGGGAUAAUAAGUCAGAGGUGAAAUCCUACGGCUCAACUGUAGAACUGCCUUUGAUACUGUUAUCCUAGAGUGUAGUUGAGGUGGGCGGAAUAUCUCAUGUAGCGGUGAAAUGCUUAGAUAUUAGAUGGAACACCGGUGGCGAAGGCAGCUCACUGGGCUACAACUGACGCUGAGGUGCGAAAGCGUGGGUAGCAAACAG
Molecule: ribosomal RNA, 251 nt
Filed under: uncultured prokaryote
Description: partial 16S rRNA
Rfam family: Bacterial small subunit ribosomal RNA
Source: RNAcentral